Pelobates cultripes (western spadefoot toad) is the source of this 514-nucleotide non-coding RNA. NCBI's taxonomy places the organism in Eukaryota, Metazoa, Chordata, Amphibia, Anura, Pelobatidae. The record is from the annotation of a GenBank genome assembly.
UGACAUUUCCUUUCAUGGUUUGUCCUAUUUCUAUAAGUUAUACUACGGCUUAUGCCCUGACCACAAAUAUAUAUAUGUAUAUAUAUAUAUUGGGGUAGCCCCCAAAAUAUUGGGACAAAUAAAAAAGACAACUCUGUUCCGCAGAGUAGCUGUUGACAUUAUAGUUUCUCAGGCACUUUGUUGACUCUAGAGAACCUCGGGCCAAUCGCACAUCCCCGUGACGGCGACUUGCAUUUGGAUGUCAUCCAUAUCAACUUUCGAUGCCAGUUUCUGCGCCUACCAUGGUGACCACGGGUAACGGGGCAUCAGAGUUCUAUUCCGUACAGGGACCCUGACAAAUGGCUACCACAUGCAAGGAAGGCAGCAGGCGUGCAAAUGACCUCCUCCUGACGCGGGACUCUUUAGAGGCCCUGUAAUUGUAAUGAGUCCACUUGAAAUCCUUUAACUCUGAUCAAUUGGAGGGAAGUCUGUUGCAGAGCCACUGACCCGUGCAUGCUGCACCUGAAACUCCACU